This 426-nucleotide ribosomal RNA is filed under the name uncultured Chlamydiae bacterium. Its description in RNAcentral is "bacterial SSU rRNA". It matches the Rfam family "Bacterial small subunit ribosomal RNA", at positions 958 to 1385 of the family's 1533-position model. The record is from RNAcentral. Lineage: Bacteria; Pseudomonadati; Chlamydiota; Chlamydiia.
AACGCGAAGAACCUUACCCAGGCUCGAAAUAUAGUAGACGAUAUCAGAGAUGAUAUUUUCCGCAAGGACUAUUACAUAGGUGCUGCAUGGCUGUCGUCAGCUCGUGCCGUGAGGUGUUGGGUUAAGUCCCGCAACGAGCGCAACCCUUAUCAUUAGUUGCCAACAUUUAAGGUGGGGACUCUAAUGAGACUGCCUGGGUUAACCAGGAGGAAGGUGAGGAUGACGUCAAGUCCGCAUGGCCUUUAUGUCUGGGGCUACACACGUGCUACAAUGGUCGGUACAGAAGGCAGCAAGACCGUAAGGUGGAGCAAAUCCGUAAAGCCGAUCACAGUUCAGAUUGUAGUCUGCAACUCGACUACAUGAAGUUGGAAUUGCUAGUAAUGACGUGUCAGCAACAACGUCGUGAAUACGUUCCCGGGCCUUGUA